GUUGACGUUUGAGUAGCGACAAUUAUAAAAAUAAUGAGUCACGCAACUUUAUGUAUCGGGAAUGAUAGUAUUUAAGUAAUUAUUUACUUUGUAAAUACACAUUGUUUGACGCAUUUUGCCGUUUGUACAGUUAAUUUAUUAAGUUUGUAAGAUAUUACACAAAAGAGGUAAUUGUU
Leguminivora glycinivorella is the source of this 176-nucleotide long non-coding RNA. RefSeq lists it as uncharacterized. The transcript is spliced from 2 exons. The record is from RefSeq and is a predicted model, not a curated record. Lineage: Eukaryota; Metazoa; Arthropoda; Insecta; Lepidoptera; Tortricidae.